AUUAAACGCUGGCGGCAUGCCUUACACAUGCAAGUCGAACGGCAGCACGGGGGCAACCCUGGUGGCGAGUGGCGAACGGGUGAGUAAAGCAUCGGAACGUGCCCUGGAGUGGGGGAUAACGUAGCGAAAGUUACGCUAAUACCGCAUAUUCUGUGAGCAGGAAAGCAGGGGAUCGCAAGACCUUGCGCUCUGGGAGCGGCCGAUGUCGGAUUAGCUAGUUGGUGGGGUAAAGGCCUACCAAGGCGACGAUCCGUAGCGGGUCUGAGAGGAUGAUCCGCCACACUGGGACUGAGACACGGCCCAGACUCCUACGGGAGGCAGCAGUGGGAAUUUGGACAAUGGGCGAAAGCCUGAUCCAGCCAUGCCGCGUGAGUGAAGAAGGCCU
This 385-nucleotide ribosomal RNA is filed under the name uncultured bacterium. Its description in RNAcentral is "bacterial SSU rRNA". It matches the Rfam family "Bacterial small subunit ribosomal RNA", at positions 29 to 417 of the family's 1533-position model. The record is from RNAcentral.